GGGUUGUGAGGUUAAGCGACUAAGCGUACACGGUGGAUGCCCUGGCAGUCAGAGGCGAUGAAGGACGUGCUAAUCUGCGAAAAGCGUCGGUAAGGUGAUAUGAACCGUUAUAGCCGGCGAUGUCCGAAUGGGGAAACCCAGUGUGAUUCGUCACACUAUCGUUAACUGAA
RNAcentral lists this ribosomal RNA (170 nucleotides) under Klebsiella pneumoniae. RNAcentral's name for it is "partial 23S ribosomal RNA". It matches the Rfam family "Bacterial large subunit ribosomal RNA", at positions 1 to 162 of the family's 2925-position model. Lineage: Bacteria; Pseudomonadati; Pseudomonadota; Gammaproteobacteria; Enterobacterales; Enterobacteriaceae. The record is from RNAcentral.